UUCUGGUUCUGGUUCUGACCUGUGUGUGUGUGUCCUCUAGGUUCUGGUUCUGGUUCUGACCUGUGUGUGUGUCCUCUAGGUUCUGGUUCUGGUUCUGACCUGUGUGUGUGUCCUCUAGGUUCUGGUUCUGGUUCUGACCUGUGUGUGUGUCCUCUAGGUUCUGGUUCUGGUUCUGACCUGUGUGUGUGUGUGUCCUCUAGGUUCUGGUUCUGGUUCUGACCUGUGUGUGUGUCCUCUAGGUUCUGGUUCUGGUUCUGACCUGUGUGUGUGUGUCCUCUAGGUUCUGGUUCUGACCUGUGUGUGUGUCCUCUAGGUUCUGGUUCUGACCUGUGUGUGUGUGUGUCCUCUAGGUUCUGGUUCUGGUUCUGACCUGUGUGUGUGUCCUCUAGGUUCUGGUUCUGGUUCUGACCUGUGUGUGUGUCCUCUAGGUUCUGGUUCUGGUUCUGACCUGUGU
Long non-coding RNA from Oncorhynchus keta (chum salmon), 454 nucleotides. RefSeq lists it as uncharacterized. Lineage: Eukaryota; Metazoa; Chordata; Actinopteri; Salmoniformes; Salmonidae. The transcript is spliced from 3 exons. The record is from RefSeq and is a predicted model, not a curated record.